UGAUGUCCUUCUUAUUGAACAUCGCCGACCUCUUUGCUUGAAGUGCUGUUUUUAAAUAUCCAAUUGCUGACAAUACCUCAAAUUUAGCUUUUCGUUCAGUUUCAACAGCUCAAAAUAUAUUGAUCCUCAAAUGUCUCUCCAUAUACACAAUAUUCUCUUGUUCAAGCUCAACUUCGGUUUAGAAGUGAAGGAAGCAAAUUUUCAGGGUUCACUAUAUGCCCUUUUCCUUAUGAUGUUUUCGUAGAUAAUCCACUUUUCAUCCUUAGUUAUUAUCGGGUCCAAGAAUGGUACGAUUUUGUUCCGUGCAAGCAGAAAUGUGCAUAUAAUAACUCGAUCAUUCAAAUUCUUUUCGAUAAACUUAGGUGGCACCCAUCUCGAAUAUUUCCACACGAAUCCCCUAGUUUCCCAAUAUGGUCCGAAAUGAUUUUUUAAGCUGAAUUAAGUCUAUCCGCAAUCUCCAAUGUUGUCAAAAAAGGAUUUUGCUUUAACAUAAUCUUGACAGUAUCGUCAAUGUCAUCGAUCAAAGAUGAUCGCUCAAAUCGUCGUUUAUCAGAAAGGUCGAAAUCACUUGUUUCAAAUUUUUUUAACCAUAUUCUGCAGGUUCUAUCAGAAACUGUAUCUUUACCGAACACUUUCAAUAAAUUUCCUCACGCUUCUAUAACAUUUCUUCCUUGUUGGAAUUCAUUCGAAAUACAGUGGCGUAAAUGAACUUUAUCAGAAGCCAUAAGUACAAUAUCGCGUCUCACUUAAUACUAAUAUGAAUCAUCUUUGUUUAAUUCAUUCGCUAGGUUAGUAUGUAUAAAUUCAGUGACAAAAAGAAAGAGCUAAGUAUGCGUCAAAUGAAUAAGCGCAUACUUGUUGAAACUUGUUAUCAGAACGGACAGAACUUUCUGGUACACCUAAUACUUAUCUGAUAUGAUUCCUUUUCUAAAAACAGAGACGAAUUUUUGUUCGCGCAAGAAAUUCAUCAAUCCUCCUCCUCUCCACUUCGAGUUCCUUCAGUUGUUGCUUAAGUUCCCCUGGAGCUCUUGGACAAAGAGAGUGAGCGACUGUAUUUUCUUCUCUCUUCCUUCUUUUCCUCGCCGAUUUUCCUGUCUAUUUCUUGAAGAUACGUUUCGUUAUGUCCCAGACGAACUUCCAAAAUUGUUACAUGCAACCAUGCUUUUCAACGAAAAAGAACUUUAAUAAAGAACAAAGAAGAACAAGUUAUUGCUAAUGAACAGUUUAGCAGAUUAAUUCUCUCAAUAAAAAUAUCCGAAUAUGUUGGAACGUUCGCAUAUCACGUCCUCUCUGGCCGAAUUUCUUUAGAAGAUAAAUGAUAACCCGUUAUUAUUAGUCACAUUUUCUGGGCGGUUAGAAACGAUCUUCUAGUUUUAAGUUCACUUAGAACUCUUUUAGUCAGACUCAUAACAAUAUCUCAACUACAGAUUAAUGGCAGCACAAGUCUUAUUUACAAACAUUUAAUUAUUUAAAAUUGAGCUCAGUCUAUGGUACCCUGUACCCUACAAGUAAAACUAGGUUUAAACAUAUUUGAUAUUUGGAAUAUUUUUUAUAAAGAAAUAACAAAAUUUACAUUGAUAGCAAAGGAAUAAUUUAUAUUUCUAAUAUCUUCAUCUUGCUUUUUAAAAUAAUAGUAAAAAUAUAACAAAAAUAGCAAAACAAUAGUGAACAUAAAAAUAAAAAAUUGGUAUGUCAUGAAAUUUUAAUCAUAAUAGUCUUGUUAUGAAAGAUCGAUAUUUUUUGGGGCAUAUUUUAAUAGGGGUCCAAAAAUUUGUAAUACCUGAGGUCUCUUAAAAGUCUGCCACUGACAGUAUUCGAUCACAUAUUCGUAAGAUCUCACAGCAAAAUAUUUUUCGAUGAAUUAAUUAUUUGAUCUAUCAUUGAUCAUCAUUGACACGUCAAAAUAAAUAGAAAGUAGCAAUAAAAUAUUUUUAAUUUCCAAUCCUAUAUCGUAAAAAUAAGCAAGCAAAGUUUUAAUUUUUGUCUUGAUAUGUUGAAUCUGUUAACGAGAUAAUGUUUAUGUGUAUUACAGACUCUACUCUAUCUUCAUAUUCCGUUUCGUUUAAAUCAUUGCGUUCGAUUUUACUUUCAUUUUUUUUCGCUUUCUAAACGAACAAUUAAAUAUACUACUUUAUCACGUUUGCGAAGUGCGCGUUCCUGUUUGUGGAAUUUUAAGGUCUCCUAAAUCAGUCGUUCUUUCGAUUUUAGUUUUUCAUAUAUUUGAUAUUUCUGAUAUAUAUGAUAUUUCUUCUAGUCUAACCUCCAUAGACACUACUUCGUAUAUCCAUUUUUUGAUCGAACUUGUUUUGAUUCGUUUUAUUUGAUGACAUUUCACAUAUUCCAUCUCUGUCUCAAUUCUGUGUUACGUCGCGUUCGGUACGAAUCUGUAGAAAAUAUAUCUUUAGGAGUAUCUCUUAUAUUGUCGGAGUUUAUGUCUAGAGCUUUUAUCUGUUAUUUGCAAUUAUGGCUCGAAAUAAAUACGAACAAAAUAUCGCACGUGAAUAGUUCAAAUAUUGUUUGGUUGCAUUAAUACCGGUUUCAAUCAACACGAUUUCACAUGAAUAACAGGAAUAUAACGGUCUUCUACAGAUGUCCUAUGAAUUUGAAAUUGCAGCAUUUCGUAGAUGGGAUUGAUUCUGAAAUAAAUUAAUAUCGAUUGCUCGUAUUACGUAAAAAGUAGUCCUAGAAUUCUAGAAAUAUUCUCAAUAGAAAACAAAAGAAGUUUUGGUUUAAUAAGAUUCCAAGUCUUAAAGAUUAAUUAGAUUUGAAUUACAAGGACUUUCAUAUUUAUAGCUAAAAUAAAGUACACGAAAAGUAGAAAUAUCGAUUGCAUUGAAAUAUGGCUCAAAAAACGCGUGUAAUGUGUAGAACAACCAAAAAUUUUUGUGAAGGUAUUCUAUGAGUUAUAAUUAAUGAAUAGCGAUCAUUUGUCAAUGUGAUCGUAACAAAUUAAUAGGGAACGUUCAAAUUCUGCUAGAAAUGGUUCUAAAGUUAUGGAGAUAUUCUUAAUAGAAUUGUCAGAUCUAAGUGCAUAAGAAUCAAGUCUUGCUUUAUUAAAAUUCGAGAUAUAAAAGAUUUUAUUAGAUUUGAAUUACGAUAAUUUCCGCCCUUAUAACCAACGAUCGAUUGCAUGAAAAAUUGAAUUAUUCUUUUACUGCAUUGAUACGGAGAUCAAUAAGUACGUUCUCACGUGUAAAAUAAUAAUGCGAUAAUCUUCUGAGGAUAUUCAAUAAAUUAUAAUUAUGGAAUAACGCCAUUUUUUUGACGAGAUCAAUUCUGAAACUAAUCAAUUUAGUAGAGGAUUUCUCAUCCUCUGCCAGAAGUGGUUGCGGCUUCGAUGAAAUUUGUAUUUUUGUCGGUGUAAUCGUCGGAGAGAAUUCCUUUUCGUGAGAUGAAUAUUUUGAGUGUGUUUAAAUACGACUUCGUCGGCAAAUUGAAAACUUAUUUGGGAUGGAUUAUCUUGCAUGACAAGGAUACAAACACUGCAAUAGUCUAUUCCGCAAUAGACGAAUGGUUUCGCUAGGGAUAUUCUAGGAGUCGGGAGAUCACCCAUAAUUAUCUGUUUUGCAAUUGGCACAAUACGAAAAUAUUUAAUAUAAUUUCGCAUGAAAUGUCUUAACGUAUUUUUCCAGUUAUUAAUAAAAAACGUCGCAAAGAAGCUAGCGUAGAUUGAGGACAUCUUCGUAAUUUUGUGUUUCGGAGGUAGCAACACGAUAGGGUGCUUUGUCGAGCACGGCAGUGCGGAAUGUGACAGUCUGCCUCCAAUUCUGAUGACGCCAGUCUUGACGAUGAACGGAAUCAAGCCGAGAAGCUUACGGUUGCGAGGCAUAGAUUUAUUGUCGUGUAUAGUCUCAGAACUGAGACAUUGAGGAUCAUUUUACAAGAGUUGUGAUUGAAUUAAGUGAGACGGCGAGAUUCCUCGAGAAAUUGCGUCGACAGGUUUUUCCUUCAUGCUUACAUACUUCCAUGAUCAUGAAUUAGUUCAUUCCUGUAUUGGACCUACAAGAUUUGAUACUAAUAACGCUUCGCGUCGACUCUUAUCCACCCCAACGUGAUCAUGAAUCAGACAAAUUCUAAAUUCCGUCAAGCUUGAUGCUGAGAGACUGUGAAAUUCGAUGUGCGAGUAAAUGCGCCGUGCAAAGUUCCAAUUUGAGAAAUAUAUAAUACUUUUUGCAGGAGCGACUUUGCACAGAAUAUCCUUUCGAUAACCAUCGACAUUCUUCGCUUUGAUAUAGACCACGACUCCAAACGCAUCCCCAAAUGCAUGCUUGUGACGCAAAUACCGUAUAUCUCAAUGAAUAAGGUUGCGAAUAAGUGAUGAUCGUUCUUAGUAUUUUCAAUGUAUUCAAUUGUAACAUUUGAUUCCAGUAUUUACACUGUUUUGUUCCGAAAGAUACUAUUUCAUCCCAAUCGAUCUUUAGCAAUCUAAGCUUCUGUAUGAGAAACUUUCCAUUUAUGAUAACUAGCCGGAGUAACCCGAUAGGAUCGAAGAUUUGAAUGACGUUUGUGAGUAUCGAUCUUUCACGGGAAUCGGCGGUAUCACAUAGUAUUGAAAGGUAUCAUGAUUGAGUAUAUGUUCAAAACGAAUUAGAAAAAUUCUGAAAUACUGCCGAGUUUUAUGCCCAUUUUCUGAGUUUGAAUUCAGCCUUGAUCAAUAUGGCUAUCACUUCAUCGCGAAUCACGAUUGCUUGGUCUAUAUUGUUUGUGCCGGUUAACAAAUCAUCGACAACAUGAAAAAAUCCGACAACAUGAUCACCACUUAUAAUGAAAAAUUGGUUCUUUCGAGAUGCGCAAUUUCUUGCAAUUCUUGUAUGUACCGUAUGUGACUGUUUUAAAGUCGAAUAUUAUGAUCUUCUCGUCUGGAUUGGUCCUCCAUAAGAUGUGCUCAUAUUGUUUGCGAGUUAUCAAAGUAAACUUGCUAUACGCUAAAUCGGAAAAUUAUGUCUAAGAGAUUUUGCUGCAGAGUUGGACAUACCAUGAGUAUGUCGUUGAGAGAAACUCUUGUCGAGGUCUUGCAAAAUGCGUCAAACACAACACGUAACUUUAUUUUGAAAUACGUUUCUUUGACUUGGUGAUGCAGUAAAUAAUAUUCCGCUGACACAAAUCUUGAUCUUCGAUUCACUUUUGUGACUUAGUCAUCGAUACUCGCUAAGAAAUUCUGUGUAUUGAAUCCUAACUUCGCAUUCUUUUCGAGCUUUCGAUCCAAUGCGUUGAAUCGUCGCAAUGCUGUAACCUUGAAAUUGUCAAGCUGCCCAGUCGUAUCCAUUUGGAACGGAAGCUGCACUAUGAAACGACCGCCCUCGUCUCUGUGAUAAAUUUGAACAAAAUAAUAAUCACAAAGAUUUUUCUGCGUCGUGCGAUUAACUCGCUGUGGGCAUAGCUCGCUUUCCAAAAAUUUCGUGAAAAUUGUGUUGAGCUGUUGAUUUGUGAUAAGAUUGUGAUAAAAAUCGGUGCGAGCUCCAGUCUGUUUCCUCGUCUCGGUCAAUCAGUCCAAUACCCAACCGAAAAGAGUUUUUUGAAGGAUUGGAUGAUCUUUAGUGACCUUAAUCUGCCCAACAAAUAUCAACGGAAAUGCCUUUACAACGUCCAACACCUGAAUGAUUGUUAUGGACAACCGGACCUAUCACCUAUCAUGAUCAUGAAAUGUAUGUGUGGCUGCCGAUAUAAUCUAAUGCAAAUCUUUCGAUUAGUUUUGCCAAAUCGCUUUGUGGAAUUAAUGGGAGAAUAUAUAAGCAUGUUGUAUCUGUUGCAGUAGGUUUUGCAACUACCGACUUGACAAUCUUUCGUGCAAUGUAAGACAGAUCGUAAACAAUUCAGGCACAGUUUGUUGUCCUUGACUGCUUUUGCAGAACCGGCAUCUUCAGUAAAGUUUCGCACAUGAUCUCGAAAUGCUUGUCCUUAGAAAUGGGGCAUUUGUUAGUUUGAUUUGUGACGUUGAGCGAAGUCGGCUUUGUUUGCCAUUGUUUGUUGAGGAUUGAAGGAGUAGACGAUUGUGACGCUUUUCUUUGAAUAAUUUUCAACAUAUAUCAUCUGCGAUUCAUGAAUUUAAAAUUGUUAAAUCCUGCAAAGUCGGGAUUUCUGGUUCCCUUAAGCUGUUUUCCCAUUCUCGAUUUGCGACAACAUCGAGCUUACUUGUGAUUACAUACACGAGGCGGUCAUUCCAUUCGAUUGUCGUUCGGCCUAAGGCUCUCAAGGCGCGUUUGUGCUUCGACAUAUCAUCGACAAUCGCAAUCAUGCGUGAUUUUUUUUAAUAGACUUAUCAUAAUAGCUGGUCAACAAUUACAAAGCUUCGUUGACUCUGAAAAAAAGUGAACCCCUGUCUAUUUGAUCUGGAACCUCUUUUUAACGAAGGCUUCUUUUUACUUAUCAGUGCGCUGAGUACGACAGAAAGUACUAUUGGUGUCAUUUAAGUCCUAUACUCUACCCUCAAACUCUGAUAUCAAUACAUUCCGCAAAUUUGUGUAUGAUAUGCUUCUCUUUUUUGCUAUUGUUCCCAAGCUAUAAAUGUUAUCGAACUUUCUAGCUACCUGUAGUAGCCAUCACAUUUUUCUAGUUUAGAUCCUACUUUCAAACAAUUUGAUGUGCUCAUCCCACAUUAGAUCACACUCCAUAUUCAAUUUUCCGUAUUGGGUUUUAAUAUUCACAGAGCACCCUAAACUUUUCGGUCUAAACUAAUCAGUUCUUUUGUUAACUUUCAAACCUCUGCCGGAUGAUCUAUUGCAUUGUGAUAAUAUUGUUCAUUGCAAACAGAUUGCAGUAAGUUAGAUGUUCUCCUUUCAUAUACUGUCAACUUACAAGCAUAGCCUCGUAUUAACAGGUACCAUUUUGGUAAUGAUAAACCAACGGUUCCCAAUUUAACAUCCCUAAAGAUCCUAGGGAGCAAAUGUAGUAUUUGAUCCAAUCCAUGCCAAACACCAUCAAUCUUUAAAUAUGCUUUAUCGCUCUCCUUCAAUUUAGAAAUUAGAUCUAAACAGGAAGCUUCUACCGCUAUCUUGUCUAUUAAGUCAAAAGCUGGUAUUCUUGAUUUCAUCUACCAAAUACUACGCUAUCUACUGACAAUAUUUCAAAACGUUGUACCUAUUGUUACUAAUGCUAUAUUCACAUUACAAUUUGUUCUUAUUCGAAUAGGCUGGACGUAAAAUACGUUAUCAGCCUUUUUGAGAUCAUAGACACUAAGUAGUACUCAACAGACCCAUCGUAUCCACUGCCUUGGUGGAAUAUAACUUUAACGUCUCCAAAACAGUUUGAAUCCGCCCAUAUAGUUGAUAUUUUGUAGCCGCCUCAGUACUCAUAUGUUGUUCUCCCUGGUUGUUCGACUUUAAUCUAUAGCAUCCCGUACCAGAUUCUUGGCAUCAGUCAUCCAUUCCCACCUAGAGUUCUAUUGAAUGAAGCAUCAUAUUCCAAUGGGUGCUUGAAAUGGCUAAAACCACCAGAGUCUCCCAUUAUCGAAGUCAUCGCUUCUUCUUCCAUCAAGUCCAUUUCUUCCCUAACUUUUUUUAUCGAAGACAAUAUCACAGUCGAAUUCCAGUCAUUUAACAUUCUAUUAGCCAGUCUAGCAUCCUGCAAAACCAACUAGGCAUCCUGCAAUAGUCUUUUUACCAAAUCCUACAAAAUCGGAGUGAGGACGAAAAUUUAAAGAACCUUCUUAUUGACUCAUCGGGCAACGCUGCUGCUGUUGAUGACGUUUAACGUGAUACGAAUUAAUAGUUGAUAAGGAAAAAUUUAACAAUGAGAAAUGUAUAUCUCGCGGUUUAGGAAACAGAUACGUAGGCAGUGUAGAAAGGAAAUAAAAUCCUUGCUGAUUAAUUGCAUACAUUGUAGAAAAUUUUUCAUCCGAGUUGACAUCACAAUUUUCAUAAAGUUAAUAAUUCAGCAAAUGGAUCGCUGAGUUGAACUGGUAGAUAUGAAAUAUUUAUAAAAAUAUGAAAUAAAGAGUGUGAAACAAGGAGUAACGUAUGCAAGGGGAGUGUAAGGCAGCAUCCCAACAAUGUAAAUAGCCGAAUAGCGAUCGAGUGUUUUACGCCAAGACAAAGAUCCAACAAAAGAAAAGAAGGCAUAAAAAGGUAGUCAGCGUCUAUCAAUCGAAUAACGAUUACAUCCUAGUGUACCAAUAUUUCUUUACUUUUCAUUUAUUAGAAUAUAUUGCAUUUCCGUAGAAGAGAAUUUUCUUUUCAUCAUCGGAAUUCUUAUUUUUUUUAGUCAGAUAUCAUUUCAGAAGACUGACUAGACAGAGCGAAUUCCAAAUAUAUUAUGUAAAAAGUAUUAGUAAUAUAGUAAUAUCUGUAAAUACUGAUAAGUCGAAGAGCACGACGUGAAGAAUAAUGUAUAUUACUGAAAGUACAGGGAUUAAUAUAGAGAACUUCGAAAUGAUUAAAAUAAAGGAUUUAGAGGAAAUUGUUAUGAGAUUGUUGAAACAGAAAGGAACCGAACAGGGAAUAACUACCAAUAUAUUAAAGUUGGUGUUUUAUGCAAUAAAAGAGAAAUUUGUCGACGUAAUAAAUAAUUCUUUGAAGAAAGGUUGCUGUUCAGAGAAUUGAAAAACAUCAACGAUAAUACCGAUUCCACAAAUAGAAAAAGCUAAAAAGCAAAUUAUUAUAGAUCGGUAAAUGUAUUUUGAAUUUAAUGGUAUUAUAACGGAACAUUGAUUAGAUGUUAGAAAACAAUAUUCGUGUAAAAUGGUAAUUCAAACUGUUGUUGAUGAAUGGAAAUAAAUAGUUAACUAGAGAACAAUGAUGGAUAUUAUUUCUAUGAAUCUUAAGUGAAUGUUUGAAACAGUAGAUAGAAAGAAAUUAAUAGAAAAUUUAUAUCAAUAUAACUUUAGAGGUAUUGUUUUAGAUUCAUUUAAAUAAUAGAACGCAGCAGAUUCGUGUGGACGAUAAAUGGUCUGAAUUAAUUAACACUGAAUAUGGAGUGCCGCAAGGAUUUGUAUCAGAAAUCUUGUCAUUCAUUGUAUAUAUAAAUUAUAUAAUAGAAAUAUUCUCUGAAUGAUGUAUUAUAAAAAUGUUUACGGAUAAUACAUUAAUUUAUGUUAUUGGAAAAAGUAGUAUACAGUUAGAGACAGAAAUGAAUAAGACAUUUAACACUAUGACGUCCGGUGGCUCCACCUUGGUGCCAUUCGGAAGUUAUUGCUCAAGCACCAAUGGCUGCAUUGUGGAGAAUUCAAUUUAAAUUCAAAAUUGGAGGACGAAAGAAUAUUGCGUGUUCUGGAAUUAACAGUAAAUUACAGACGUAGCAACUUUGUGUUUUCAUAAAAACCUGUAUCCUUCGACAAUGGCAAACGAAAGAGAAGAUACAAUUAUACGUGAUGAGUGUGUGGACAUCUUGUCUGGUGUUCCAUCCGAAUUUCAAGAUAGUGAGGAACUAGAAGACAUUACGUCUUCAGAAAAGGAAAAUGAGGCAAUAUCUUCGAAUGAAUCUGACAUAUGUAGACAGAGAAUUCGGCGAACACUACCGUUACCAAGCGAUACAGAAAAAUCAGACGAAGAUAACUGUAGACAGUGGUCAAAUUUUGAUUUACCAAGAAACAAUUAUGCUUUCGAAGGAUCUUCUGGUCCUAACGUACUUCCCAAAGAUACAAACAAUAUCGAGGAUGUCGUGGAACUAUUUAUAGGGAACGACUUGUUUGAAUUUAUUAGUACCGAAACGAACAGGUACUAAGAUCAAAAUUCCACCAGGAGGAAGCCCGAUAAAAAAAGUGCAAAAUUUUUCAAUGUUACGGCAAUUGAACUAAAAAAAUGGUUUGGACUGAUUAUUCUUAUGGGAAUCGUUAAAAAAUCAAAGAUUGAAGAUUAUUGGGCGACAAAUCCAUUUUUGGAAACACCAAUAUUUGGUAAUACGAUGUCCCGCAAUAGAUAUUGGCAAAUAUUAUCGUUUGUACCUUUUUCGGAUAAUAGUAAAAUACCUGCUAAUGCCGACCGACUGUUCAAAGUACAAGGUAUAAUUGAUUAUUUUACGAAAAAGUUUCAAGAAAACUUCAAUCUUUGUCAAAAUAUUACAAUAGAUGAAGGAAUGAUGGCGUGGGCGAUUGAAUUUUAAAGUUUAUAACCUCUCAAAAAUUAUAAAGUAUGGUAUAACUUGUCCGGAUGCUGUGUGAUUCCAUUACGGGAUAUAUUUCGCAAACGGGAUAUAUUUUACAAAAUAUACUCUGGCAGUAAAAAAUCUUUAAAGGAUACAGUGAUAAAACUAUUGAAAAAUGUUACUGGAAAAUGGCAUCACUUGUAUAUGAAUAGCUACUAUAACAGUAUGGAACUUGCGGAUGAUUUGCUUACGAAAAAAAUUCGCGUUUGCGGAACGCUGUGUAAAAAUAGAGGAUUACCGGCAAAGUUGAAAAACUGCAAACAAAAUGUAUUUGAAACCAAACAUCAACGAAGAGAAGCAGUACUGGCGCAAGUAUGGAAAGCAACGAAGACGAAAAUAAUAAGAACAAUUUCUACCAUACACAAUGGUGGUUUAGUUGACACUGCAAAAAAAUGCAGAAAAAGCAAUAGUACGAUUAAAAACUCGGCAUCUAUUUUGGAUUAUAAUAAAUAUAUGAAGGGUGUAGAUCGAGCUGAUCAAUUUUUGAGCUAUUAUCCCAUAUACCGGAAAACUUUAAAAUGAUCAAAAAAAGUGGCAUUAUACCUUUUCAAUUGCGCUUUAUACAACGCGUUCGUACUGCAACAACAUUAUACAGAUUCCAAGAAACUCCACUUUCAUGAUUUUUUAUUGAAAAUAUGCGAAUCUUGGAUAAAAGAUCAUUCCCUGUUGGUGAACAGAACUUGGAGGUCCCGAGUUCAUGACAUGCUUCCAGUCGUGAAUCAAUCAACAGACUUUCCGUCCUCGUAAUGGAACGCUGAUACGUAUUUCAGAAACCAGCAACGGAAAACGCAGAAGGAGUCAUGUGUGUUAUAAAAACAAAAAAAUUAAGUGAACUAAUUUAAUCUGUAAAUCUUAUGGAGUUGCGCCUCGCCUCGGAGAUUGCUUUGCUUCGUUUCAUUUAAAAAAUAAGUACGAAGUUUUUAACAAAAUAUAAAUAAAUAGAUAAAUAUGUAAUACAAAAAAAUCUUGUACUUAUUUACAUAUGUAUACCCUCACAAUUUCGAGAAAAUCGCGAGACAGGAUUGAAACAUGGAAACUGACGAUAAGAUUAGUAAACAAGAACCUCGAAAAACCGCCGGCGAUAAGCGAAAUUAUGUAAAUAAGUUCCACCGGCGCGACACG
Molecule: long non-coding RNA, 11199 nt
Organism: Vespa mandarinia (Asian giant hornet)
Lineage: Eukaryota; Metazoa; Arthropoda; Insecta; Hymenoptera; Vespidae
Source: RefSeq, a predicted model, not a curated record